RNAcentral lists this transfer RNA (68 nucleotides) under Eudiplozoon sp. DZ-2018. Its description in RNAcentral is "tRNA-Leu". Lineage: Eukaryota; Metazoa; Platyhelminthes; Monogenea; Mazocraeidea; Diplozoidae. The record is from RNAcentral.
UUUAAGUUGCCAGAUAGAUGGGCCUGCUUUAGGUGCUUGUUAUAUGGGGUUUAUUCCUUUACUUAAAG